GAGUAGCGAGAAUUAUGUGGGAAUCAUAAUGGCCGAAAAUCUAAGGUUUCUUGGGGAAGGUUCGUCCGCCCAAGGUAAGUCGGGAGCUAAGCUCAGGCCGAGAGGCGUAGGCGAUGCACAUACGGUAGAAAUUCCGUAACCACCGAAACUUAAACAGAGGGACACUUCAGGAUAGCGGAACCCGGGCGUUGGUUGACCCGGGCGAAAGGGAGCGAAAAUAGAGUAGCGAAGUCCGCGAUGCCUGGAGGCGAGAAAAGCUCUGAGGUAUGCUAAGGUGCCCGUACCGCAAACCGACACAGGUAGAUGAGGAGAGAAUCCUAAGGCCAACGGGAGAAGGGUUGUUAAGGAACUCGGCAAAUUGACCCCGUAACUUCGGAAGAAGGGGAGCCCCCUACGGGGGGUCGCAGAGAAAUGGCCCAAGCAACUGUUUACCAAAAACACAGGUCUAUGCUAAGUCGAAAGAUGACGUAUAUGAGCUGACGCCUGCCCGGUGCCGGAAGGUUAAGAGGAGAUGUCAGGCAACGAAGCAUUGAAUUUAAGCCCCGGUAAACGGCGGCCGUAACGAUAACGGUCCUAAGGUAGCGAAAUUCCUUGUCAGGUAAGUUCUGACCCGCACGAAUGGCGUAAUGAUUUGGGCACUGUCUCAACAGCCCGCCCGGCGAAAUUGUAGUACUGGUGAAGAUGCCAGUUACCCGCAACUAGACGGAAAGACCCCAUGGAGCUUUACUGCAGCUUAAUACUGAAAUUCGGUAGUACAUGUACAGGAUAGGUGGGAGACUGAGAAAUACAGGCGUCAGCUUGUAUGGAGUCGCUGUUGGGAUACCACUCUUGUACUGCUGGGUUUCUAACCUGCGGCCGUGAAUCCGGUCGGGGGACACUGUUAGGCGGGCAGUUUGACUGGGGCGGUCGCCUCCCAAAAGGUAACGGAGGCGCUCAAAGGUUCGUUCAGCACGGACGGAAAUCGUGCAAUGAGUGUAAACGCAUAAACGAGCCUAACUGCGACACCGACGGGUGGAGCAGUAACGAAAGUUGGAGUUAGUGAUCCGGUGGUAUGUGAGUGGAAAUGCCAUCGCUCAACGGAUAAAAGCUACCCUGGGAUAACAGGCUGAUCUCCCCCAAGCGUCCACAGCGACGGGGAGGUUUGGCACCUCGAUGUCGGCUCGUCGCAUCCUGGGGCUGAAUUCGGUCCCAAGGGUUUGGCUGUUCGCCAAUUAAAGCGGCACGCGAGCUGGGUUCAGAACGUCGUGAGACAGUUCGGUCCCUAUCUGUUGCGGGCGUAAGAGGUUUGAAGGGAGCUGUCCUUAGUACGAGAGGACCGGGAUGGACGUACCUCUGGUGCACCAGUUGUCCUGCCAAGGGCAUAGCUGGGUAGCUAUGUACGGACGAGAUAAACGCUGAAAGCAUCUAAGCGUGAAACUCCCCCUAAGAUGAGAUCUCUCAUCCUUUAAGGAGCAAGGACCCAGAAAGACGAUCUGGUUGAUAGGCCGAAGGUGGAAGCGCAGUAAUGUGUGCAGCUGAUCGGUACUAAUAGUCCGAGGGCUUGACC
This 1546-nucleotide ribosomal RNA is filed under the name metagenome. RNAcentral describes it as "bacterial LSU rRNA". It matches the Rfam family "Bacterial large subunit ribosomal RNA", at positions 1304 to 2925 of the family's 2925-position model. The record is from RNAcentral.